This 484-nucleotide ribosomal RNA is filed under the name uncultured bacterium. Its description in RNAcentral is "partial 16S ribosomal RNA". It matches the Rfam family "Bacterial small subunit ribosomal RNA", at positions 29 to 507 of the family's 1533-position model. The record is from RNAcentral.
AUUGAACGCUGGCGGCAUGCUUUACACAUGCAAGUCGAACGGCAGCGCGGGCUUCGGCCUGGCGGCGAGUGGCGAACGGGUGAGUAAUGCAUCGGAACGUGCCCAGUAGUGGGGGAUAGCCCGGCGAAAGCCGGAUUAAUACCGCAUACGACCUGAGGGUGAAAGCGGGGGACCGAAAGGCCUCGCGCUAUUGGAGCGGCCGAUGUCGGAUUAGCUAGUUGGUGGGGUAAAGGCUUACCAAGGCGACGAUCCGUAGCUGGUCUGAGAGGACGACCAGCCACACUGGGACUGAGACACGGCCCAGACUCCUACGGGAGGCAGCAGUGGGGAAUUUUGGACAAUGGGGGCAACCCUGAUCCAGCCAUGCCGCGUGCGGGAAGAAGGCCUUCGGGUUGUAAACCGCUUUUGUUCGGGAAGAAAUCCUCUGGGCUAAUACCCCGGGGGGAUGACGGUACCGGAAGAAUAAGCACCGGCUAACUACGAG